Molecule: long non-coding RNA, 1937 nt
Filed under: Calidris pugnax (ruff)
Lineage: Eukaryota; Metazoa; Chordata; Aves; Charadriiformes; Scolopacidae
Description: lncRNA (ENSCPUG00000003453.1)
Source: RNAcentral
AUCCCAUCCCACCGCAUCCCAUCCCAUUCCAUCCCGUCCCACCGCAUCCCGUCCCGUCCCGUCCCGGCGGUGGUGCGUCUCCCGGGGGGUGUACCCCGCUGGGCUGUCUCCAUGCCCUGGGCACGCUGCAGAAGGCAAACAGCCCCGGUGUACGUGUUUUUGGAGAGCCCGCCGUGAGGCUCCAGGCCGAGGACAGGGGCCCCUUUGUGCGCGCCCCUUCUGCUGUCGCCCCCCGCGUCCCCCCGCCGGCCGGAGCCACCCCCGGCAGCAAAAGGGCUCCCAAGACAACAACAAACCCCCUUUUUCCGCGGCUGCGGCAGGGUCCGACAAGGCCGCCUUAUUAUUCCUGCCGGCAUUAAAACCCCGCACAAGCCGAGCGGGGCGCGGAGAGGGGCGCGGGGGGAGCGGUGCCGGCAGCGGCACUUACCGGCGGCCAUCCGUGCGCUCGGUUCCGGCGGCGCGGUCCCGGCUGUCACCCCCGCCUUCGGCCGUGGGCACCGGGAGGGCGACGAGACGUUCCGGGCUUGUCUCCUCCGGGCAGCGGAGGGGCUCCCUGCCGCCUCCCCCGUCCCGAAACGCCGGUCCCGGCGGAGCUGGCUGCACGGACAGGCGGCGCGGGCAGGUGAAUGGCAGCCCCCUCCUCUUCGCAUCCCCUCCCUCUCCACUGUCUCCCUCGCCCCCUUCGCCCCCCCACCCCCUCCCUCCGCUUUCCGUGGGCUUUGGAGAGGUUGGGGUUGGUUUGGGGGUUUUUGGGUUUUUUUUUUUUUUUGCAAAGUUUCGCCUUUCCUCUGGCUCUGCUCCUCCACCAGCCAGCCUUGAAGGCGACCAAAAAAAACCAAAAAAACAACCAAACCCAAAGCACCAAACCCCCAAACUUGUGUUAAGAACAAUAAUCUCAUUUGCAAAGAAAAAUCCUUGGAAUGGGGACUUAUUGUAACGCCGUUGGGGAGCAGCCCCAACUGCUGGGCUUUUUUCACUAGAGGAGCGAGCGGCAGGAUAACGCCAGUUGGCUCCUCCAGCCCCAUUCUCCUAAAUCAUGAUAGACAGAUUGCGUGAAAAACAGGAAUUCCAAAGAAUUUCCUGCCCUGGGAACAGAAGUUAAGGCUAUAUUUAACAACAUCUGAAGCUGUCAAGAAUGCUUUGUGGUUGGAUAACAGAGCAGAAAAAUGUGAAAAAUGCGGGCUACUGCUAUACCAAAUAUGGAAAUAUUGUUACGUCUGGUGGCUGAAUCCCCAUCUGGAAAUACUUACGGCCACGAAAAGAAAAGACGCCACAACAGAAGCCCCCGCUUCUCCUCCCCAGCCCCGCGCCUCCGACGGGGAAACACGGUUCGAGGUCGCCCGGUCUGAGCGGGGGACACCGACCCCGGGGACGGGCGGGGGGGCGGAGGGCUGCCCGCUGCGGGGCCCAGCAAUUCCCGCCGGAAAACCGGGCUCCCGGGGGUGACACAAAACCUUUCGUCCGUCCCCAUCCCGUCCCCCCCCUCAGUGCAGCGGUAGCGACACAGUCCCGGGCACGGCCGGGUGACGGUGUGGAAGGUGUGACAAACGGCUCGCUCCGGUUGCGGCAGCAGCUGGCGGGGCCGGACAGAUGUGCGUCUGUCUGUCCCCAGGGCUGCAGGUGGCGCUGGGGACGCCCGGGGCCGGGGCACCCACCGGCACGGCCCCGAGCGCCACCGGCUCCCGGGGGCAGCAUCCUCCCGCCAAGGGGCGUCCGUAAGGAUACCGGCGGGGAAAACCCGCGUAACGGGGGUAAAAAACGCGAAACGGGGAAAAGACCCGCAUAACGGGGGGGGGAAGCCCACAUAACGGGGGAAAAGACCCGCAUAACGGGGAUAAGAACCGCAUAACGGGGCUAAGAACCUGCAUAACGGGGAUAAGAACCUGCAUAACGGGGUGGUAAGACCCCGCACCCGGGGGAAAAGCCCCGCGUACCGG